CGGGAUAUAGCUCAAUGGUAGAGCGUGUGCUUAGCAUGCGUAAGGUCCUGGGUCCAACUCCCAGUAUCUCCA
This 72-nucleotide transfer RNA is filed under the name Camelus bactrianus (Bactrian camel). It matches the Rfam family "tRNA". From Rfam's summary of the family: Transfer RNA (tRNA) molecules are approximately 80 nucleotides in length. Their secondary structure includes four short double-helical elements and three loops (D, anti-codon, and T loops). Lineage: Eukaryota; Metazoa; Chordata; Mammalia; Artiodactyla; Camelidae. The record is from Rfam by way of RNAcentral. RNAcentral also lists the same sequence under 2 other names.